GAAUUACAUAAUACAAAUAGCUUGAAGUUUCCUGGCUCACCCAGUUUUCGAGAGUACUGCGGUUUCAAUCAUCAUCAUCAAUAUUCUCAAGGUUUAAUUGAGGGAGCAAAUGAUGACAAUAGAAGAUUCGUGGAAGAACCUUCUGAUCAUAUGGAAAAGGAGGAGGGUUCAAUAUCAAAAGAUAAAAUAUCAGUGGUGGUGAAAAAAAAGGUGAGUAGAGUAAGAAGAAUACAAUCUGCAAUUUCAAGGACUGUGCUACCCACAAAAUUUCUUUAUAUUACUAAGUACAAUAAAACUCAAACUCAAAUAUAGCAAAAUCCUAACUAAUUAAACUGUAAAUUAAUUAAUUUUUUCAUUAUAGUAGUAUUGAUAAUAACAAUUCUUUGUAUAUA
Long non-coding RNA from Cannabis sativa, 392 nucleotides. RefSeq lists it as uncharacterized. Lineage: Eukaryota; Viridiplantae; Streptophyta; Magnoliopsida; Rosales; Cannabaceae. The transcript has 3 exons. The record is from RefSeq and is a predicted model, not a curated record.